GCUGGGUGUGGUGGCGCAUACCUAUAAUCCCAGCAGCUCCAGAGGCUGAGGCAGGAGCAAAAGUGAGGCACUAAGCAACUCAGUGAGACCCUGUCUCUA
RNAcentral lists this small RNA (99 nucleotides) under Marmota monax (woodchuck). Lineage: Eukaryota; Metazoa; Chordata; Mammalia; Rodentia; Sciuridae. The record is from RNAcentral.